GCUGUUCAGUGAUGAGACUCUGGAAAGAGCGCUGGGCACAGCGCCCGAUUUUAGACUGCGGAAGCUUUCCAAGCUGCCUUCCUUCUGAGAACAGC
Suncus etruscus (white-toothed pygmy shrew) is the source of this 95-nucleotide small nucleolar RNA. RefSeq annotates it as small nucleolar RNA U83B. The transcript has a single exon. The record is from RefSeq and is a predicted model, not a curated record. NCBI's taxonomy places the organism in Eukaryota, Metazoa, Chordata, Mammalia, Eulipotyphla, Soricidae.